AACGAACGCUGGCGGCAUGCCUAACACAUGCCAGUCGAACGAAGGCUUCGGCCUUAGUGGCGCACGGGUGCGUAACGCGUGGGAAUCUGCCCUUUGGUUCGGAAUAACAGCUGGAAACGGCUGCUAAUACCGGAUGAUGACGAAAGUCCAAAGAUUUAUCGCCAGAGGAUGAGCCCGCGUUGGAUUAGGUAGUUGGUGGGGUAAAGGCCUACCAAGCCGACGAUCCAUAGCUGGUCUGAGAGGAUGAUCAGCCACACUGGGACUGAGACACGGCCCAGACUCCUACGGGAGGCAGCAGUGGGGAAUAUUGGACAAUGGGCGCAAGCCUGAUCCAGCAAUGCCGCGUGAGUGAUGAAGGCCCUAGGGUUGUAAAGUUCUUUUACCCGGGAAGAUAAUGACUGUACCGGGAGAAUAAGCCCCGGCUAACUCCGUG
Molecule: ribosomal RNA, 433 nt
Filed under: uncultured bacterium
Lineage: Bacteria
Description: partial 16S ribosomal RNA
Rfam family: Bacterial small subunit ribosomal RNA
Source: RNAcentral